GCCAUCUUGGAUCCGCGGGACAAGAAAAUUCAUGCGAGGGAGACGUGGUGGGCGGUCCUUCCUGUGACACGACCCUUGAGUGACAGUUCUAUUUGAUUGCCUCCGGUACUGUGAGGAAAGGACACGACUCUAUGGUGAGGACUGAUGGACAUACAUUAUCUGAGAAAAGAAACUACCAGGUAAGACCAGUCUUUUUUCUUUUUUCUCUAUUGGUCUUAUAGCUACAUUGAAACUGUUUAAGUGUGUUAUAUGUAAUUGGAACCAGCAAAUUGGAUACACCUCAAUUUGAAAAUUUGGGUUUAUAAUUUUAAAUUAAGUACCGGAUUUGAUAGUUGAAAUAGUUGGGAACACUUUU
RNAcentral lists this small RNA (355 nucleotides) under Pongo abelii (Sumatran orangutan). RNAcentral describes it as "retained intron". The record is from RNAcentral. Lineage: Eukaryota; Metazoa; Chordata; Mammalia; Primates; Hominidae.